Molecule: ribosomal RNA, 462 nt
Filed under: uncultured bacterium
Lineage: Bacteria
Description: partial 16S ribosomal RNA
Rfam family: Bacterial small subunit ribosomal RNA
Source: RNAcentral
AGUGAACGCUGGCGGCGUGCCUAAUACAUGCAAGUCGAACGGAGAUUAAGUAGCUUGCUAUUUAAUCUUAGUGGCGCACGGGUGAGUAAUAUAUAGCUAACUUGCCCAUUACUAAGGGACAACAGUUGGAAACGACUGCUAAUACCUUAUACUCCGUAUCUAUAUAAGUAGAUACGGGAAAGUUUUUCGGUAAUGGAUAGGGCUAUAUCGUAUCAGCUAGUUGGUAAGGUAAUGGCUUACCAAGGCUAUGACGCGUAACUGGUCUGAGAGGAUGAUCAGUCACACUGGAACUGAGACACGGUCCAGACUCCUACGGGAGGCAGCAGUAGGGAAUAGUGCUCAAUGGGGGAAACCCUGAAGCAGCAACGCCGCGUGGAGGAUGACACUUUUCGGAGCGUAAACUCCUUUUCUUGGGAAAGAAUUAUGACGGUACCCAAGGAAUAAGCACCGGCUAACUCCGUG